Molecule: long non-coding RNA, 2919 nt
Organism: Helianthus annuus (common sunflower)
Lineage: Eukaryota; Viridiplantae; Streptophyta; Magnoliopsida; Asterales; Asteraceae
Exons: 5
Source: RefSeq, a predicted model, not a curated record
UUACACGUGUCACUUUGUUUUAACCCUUGCUGCCACGUUUGUUUCACUUUACACAGCUUCAUUAUCUGAGUGAAAGAGCAUAUACAAGUGGGAGAAAGACAGAGAGAGAGAUGCGGCGCCGACUGCUUUCCGGCGAGCCCUCCGUCAAACCCAAUUAGCCUCCGCGGCAGCAACACCACGACCACAUGAUGCUUCCUUCAAAAGAGAUAAAGAGAGAAAUAGGAGAAGCAUAGAGUGUGGUAUAAGAGAGAGAUAGAGAACUUCGACAGUUCGACUUAGGGUUCCGACGAACUCCUUUUGAUGGUAAAUCUGUGCAUAUGUAAGUUGGAGAAGUUGAAGGGUGAAUCCAAUGAUGGCAGAUUAGAGGAAGAGGAGAAGUCAGGAGCAACUUCUACCAUCCAUCAACAAAAAACAGAAGUUGCCGACCUGCACACCGGUUGUUUCACUUAAUGCUUAGUUGAGAUCUAUCAUUCAUUGCAUUUUGUUACGUUUGAGGGGCGGGGGGGGGGGGGGGUAGUGCACGGUCCUCCCAACCGCCGGAGUGAUCCCACUCCGUGAGCCGCUACCCGACCAAGCUAGCUCCACGGUGAAUUCCCUUUGCCGACUUCUUACCCUGGGCGACAUAUGCCACUCCCAAGACUCGAACCCGGUAUACACACACGUCAAUAUUUGAAUUUAGUCAUCCUUCUAUGUUCAUUGUAUACUUAAUCAAUGGUAUCAAAAACGUGUUUACAAUGCUAACUUUGGUUUUGCUAAAUGGGUCGCUUCAGGUUGAUAAAUCAAGGGCAUUCUCAAUAAAAGUAACUUAUUCACUGUUUUUAUACUUCUGAUUAAUAUACACAACUUAUCUAUUCUAUAUAAUAUAACAAGGAAGUUGCUUAUAGAUAAUGGAAAGUAUGUUGAAGCUACUAAAGAAGUUGCUUCUUGACUUUAUUUUUUAGCUUGAAUUGAUCAUAUGAGUUAAGGGUGUAUGAAAGUGAUUAUAUGAUGUUGUAUAAUCCAACCAGAUAGUUAUGGGUCGUGGGACAUAAGGUUUGGGCUUUCAAAUAUUUUGUAUUUUAUUCAUCUCAACCAGCUGUAUAAAUAUUUUUUUAACAACAAAUUUUGUUUGAUAUUUGCGAGGUUUGGUUCCUUGAUUCGUGUGUCAAGAUAACUCCAGCAAGAAUCGAGCAUAUCAAGUAGUACAAAUGCCCAGCCUGUACCAACAAGCGAGCGCGCCCUUGAUUGAAUUGUAAGACCGGUAAACCAAGGAAGAAUGUUUUUAUGUCAUUUCAUUCAACUAAUUGUAGUCGUCAUGGGACAAAAAAAAAUCGCAUUUGUAGGGUUUUAAUGUGCAUUCUUUGUUAUAAUGGUGUAACACCCCAAAUUUCGUAGGACACAUUAUAAUGUUUAAUUCACAAUGAGUUAGCAAAAAGAAAUGGUAAACAUGAAAUUUUACCAUUAUUAAGGUUUAGCAAAGUUAGUGUGUAAAUAUGAGGUAAAGUGAUAUGUUUUAAAAAGAUAAGGGACUAGAUGUGUAAUUAUGUUAUAAAGUUGAUAAAAAAAGAAAAGAAACCAGACUUUGAGUCUGGUGUGCGAUCGAGAGAAGGGCCAGGGAACUCUUUCCCUCUCAUAAACCCUAAGUCACUAAAAUUCCAUCAAUUAAAGGCGAAACUAGCAAGGAAUCGGAUGCAUGAGCAAGGAAUUUUGAUGUACUAAGUGUUCUUAACCUCAAGUAAGUGAAAUUUCAUGAUUUGGUGAUGUUUGAUUUUGUGGGUUUAGUAAAAUUCGUGAAUAUAAUGCAUUAAUUGGUAUAAUUAAUGGUUGCUGUGGUUGUUAAAACAUCAAGAAAUUCUAAAUCUUGAAUAUGAGAGUGGUUUAGGGCAAAACCCAUUUGCAUGACAAAAGAUGGUUAAGAAUUUGUGAAGUUCUACAUGCUAAUUAGGUUGGUGUUGGUGAAAUUGUUAGGAGUAAUUGAUUUAGAACUAUGUGCUCAUGAUUAGAAUGGUAGAUUUCAAGUUAGUAGGAUGUUUAUGUUAAUCAAUGAGUGAAGUAUGGAAAUUGUGCUUAAGAUGCUUGUACAUUGUGCAUAAACUGUGGUACGCACGCCAAGUGCUUGAUGAAAUGCUUAGGUGAGUUUGAUAUAUGAGAUUGUAUGCAAUGAAUCGAUGAAUACGCAUAGAAGGUAUUAAUAAAGUAAUUGAUAGUGAACUAGCUUCAAUAAUAUGCUUUAGAUGGAAUUCAUAUGAGAAUUCGGGUUGAAUGUAUGCUUUGAUCAAAAUCAUGCAUUUUGGGGAUUUUACCUUGUACUUGUAUGGUGUGACGGCCAUCAUGGCUUUGGUUAUUUGUCUAAUGGUGAUUAAGAGGUGAACGUGUACAAAAUGUAAAAACUUGCUAGAUAAUUAUACGACACACAUGAUGGUAGGUUGAUUUGAUUGAACUACGAAUAGUGUAGUAACGAGUCUAUGCCUUAUGAAUGUUAGUGGUGACCAAUGAAAGUCAAGGUGACAUAGGAAUAGAAUGAUUGAUACGAGGAAUGAUCAUGUAUACUAACAAUGUUGAAAUAUGAUGGAAUGAAAGGAUAUGCGUCGUAUUAGCAAGGGAUCAAGCAUGGAAAGCUAACGGGUCAAGAGGAGACAAGGAAGGGAAUACGAAAACGGACGCUCAAGGAUCGAGUACAUCAGAUUCUUACGAAAUUUAAGCCCAACCCGGAAUAAGAGGAUGAGUGAUACACGGACUUCUUCUGCUACUUAGGAAGUGAAGCGGACAUAGAUCGAGUCAAGAGCAAGGAUUGCACGGAUAGAUCGAGUAUAGUUGAAAUAUAUAAUGUCUAGAAAUGUAAAUUUUAAUAUGAAUGUUGUGAAUUCUUUUAUAGUACGUUUAACAUUUUAGCUUUUGGAACCUUCUCAAAAGUAAUGUCGUUAACAAGGAAAGAAAUUU